GGUCUUCCGGUUUCAUGGUGAAAUGCAUGGGAUUUUGCAGAGGAGCUUGAGGAGGUGGUGUCUGAUUUACACAGGGCCUGAGAGGUUGGUCGGACCAGGCAUACCAUUUGCAUAGUGUGCAAAGAAGAUGGCUAUCCCACCCUAAUCUUUGAUUAUGCAGAUGGGGUCUCUACCUGGCUGGUGCCAUGUUGUCUGCUUUUUUACUGCACAUGUGGUGACAAAGAAAAGGAAAAAGAGGAUCUCCGUGCUGAAUAUACCUGCCUUCCAGUACUGCCUGUAAGGUCUGCUUUGACAAGGAAAUCUGUAAGACCCUGCCAACAUCAUUUUGCAUAGCAAGAGCCCCUCUCUGUGUUACAAUCUGGAGAAAAACCGUCCUCAGCUCAUCUUCGUCAUCGUCAUCCAGCAGCCCAUACUUAAAUUUCCGGUAGACUGUGCCAUCCUGGCCCAUGUAGACGAUGUCAUCAUCAUCAUCCUCAUCAUAGUCCCG
Non-coding RNA from Chlorocebus sabaeus (green monkey), 487 nucleotides. NCBI's taxonomy places the organism in Eukaryota, Metazoa, Chordata, Mammalia, Primates, Cercopithecidae. The record is from RefSeq and is a predicted model, not a curated record.